UUGAAUGGUUUGGUAACCAUCGAGCAAGAAAAGAGCCGGUAGAUGCAAGAAUAGCAGAAAUUGCUGAGCUUGAACCCAACCACAUCAUGGACGAACGCUACAGAUUUUCAAUUCUUGUCACUGAAGUUAUCCUAUCAAGUGACUGGUGGUACAAAAGUUGCAAAGACUGUCGAAAGAAAGUUCAAAUGGAAGGCGACACGUAUAAAUGCUCACGUUGCAUCACCACUGUUCCUAUGCCGAGAUACAAAAUAUCACUGAAUGCCAUCGAUGCGGACGCAAAAAGGCACGAAGACUCGCCAUUUGCUCGGUUCAUAUUUUGGGGCCAGCAGGGAGAAAUCCUCACAGGAAAGCAAGUACUGAUUUUAGUAGCAUAAGCCAACAGCAGGGCGGAGUAUACGCCACCCGAACUGACCGGUUUGGUUGGCAA
Long non-coding RNA from Triticum dicoccoides, 427 nucleotides. RefSeq lists it as uncharacterized. Lineage: Eukaryota; Viridiplantae; Streptophyta; Magnoliopsida; Poales; Poaceae. The record is from RefSeq and is a predicted model, not a curated record. The transcript has 3 exons.